RNAcentral lists this long non-coding RNA (317 nucleotides) under Canis lupus familiaris (dog). RNAcentral describes it as "lncRNA (ENSCAFG00845024933.1)". The record is from RNAcentral. Lineage: Eukaryota; Metazoa; Chordata; Mammalia; Carnivora; Canidae.
GUAAUAUCCUGCCUGUAGUGUUGACCUUUUUGCAACUCACUUUUUUUUAAAUCUCCAGAUUGCUCAUGCAGAUAAACAUCCUCCCAUUCUGUGAGAAGGUAGAAAGUGAAACCCUUUACCAUCUCUUCCUUCGGUGAUUAAUAAAUAAAUGAACUAUAAAUACAGUGGUUUGAACUUCUCAGAAUAUAAGAGAAAAAUGAGGAGAAAAGAGAUAUUUUGGCUACCCUAAGGAAAUGGUGAGUAUUUGAUGAUGUGCUAUCAUUAUAUGAUUUCGUAUGACAGUCAUUUCUAAAUAUUAAGGAACAUUAUUAUUCUAC